GCGAAUAUAGCUCAGUUGGUUAGAGCGCCAGACUGUGAAUCUGGAGGUCGUGGGUUCGAACCCCAUUAUUCGCCCCA
This 77-nucleotide transfer RNA is filed under the name Candidatus Altimarinota bacterium. RNAcentral describes it as "Candidatus Gracilibacteria bacterium tRNA-His". It matches the Rfam family "tRNA". Rfam says of the family: Transfer RNA (tRNA) molecules are approximately 80 nucleotides in length. The record is from RNAcentral. Lineage: Bacteria; Candidatus Altimarinota.